UUUUUUCGUGGCAUAGCUUUAGGAGAAUUAUUUACAUACUAUUUCUCUAGCAUGUAUUAACACAAAAAUUAUUAUUGACUGGCCUCAGAUAGUUGUGACUUCUACAUAAUUCCAAUUACGAUUGCUUAACAUAACGCUAAAUUUAUCCCGAAAGCAAGUCAUUUUUAUAAGUGGGAUUGUAAGUUUUUUAAUCCUCAUGGUAUUGUGUGAAAAAUAUUGUUUCCUUUUCACUUAUGAGAGCUAGUAACAUACUUGUUGAUUUUAU
This 265-nucleotide long non-coding RNA is filed under the name Lathyrus oleraceus (garden pea). RNAcentral's name for it is "Pisum sativum (pea) long non-coding RNA (PSAT_LNC042204)". The record is from RNAcentral. Lineage: Eukaryota; Viridiplantae; Streptophyta; Magnoliopsida; Fabales; Fabaceae.